Molecule: ribosomal RNA, 508 nt
Filed under: Homarinus capensis (Cape lobster)
Lineage: Eukaryota; Metazoa; Arthropoda; Malacostraca; Decapoda; Nephropidae
Description: partial 16S ribosomal RNA
Rfam family: Bacterial large subunit ribosomal RNA
Source: RNAcentral
ACCUGCCCACUGAUGUAAAAUUGAAGGGCCGCGGUAUUUUAACCGUGCGAAGGUAGCAUAGUCAUUAGUCUUUUAAUUGGAGGCUUGUAUGAAUGGUUGGACAAGAAGCAAACUGUCUCGAAAAAAGUAUUCAAAGUUGACUUUUAAGUGAAAAGGCUUAAAUAUUUUAAAGGGACGAUAAGACCCUGUAAAGCUUAAUAAUUUUGCAUAUAAUUAGAUGAAUUGUAAGUAUAAUAUCAUUUAGAUGUUAAAUUAUUUCGUUGGGGCGACGAUAAUAUAAUUUGUAACUGUUUAAAAUUUAAAUUCAAAGAUGUUUGUAUUUAGUGAUCCAUUGUUGUGAUUAAAAAUUUAAGUUACUUUAGGGAUAACAGCGUUAUUUAUUUUGAGAGUUCAUAUCGACAAAAAAGUUUGCGACCUCGAUGUUGAAUUAAAAAUUUGUCAUGGCGUAGCAGUUAUGAUGGUAGGUCUGUUCGACCUUUAAAUUUUUACAUGAUUUGAGUUCAAACCG